RNAcentral lists this ribosomal RNA (1472 nucleotides) under Streptococcus thermophilus. RNAcentral describes it as "bacterial SSU rRNA". It matches the Rfam family "Bacterial small subunit ribosomal RNA". The record is from RNAcentral. Lineage: Bacteria; Bacillati; Bacillota; Bacilli; Lactobacillales; Streptococcaceae.
GAACGCUGGCGGCGUGCCUAAUACAUGCAAGUAGAACGCUGAAGAGAGGAGCUUGCUCUUCUUGGAUGAGUUGCGAACGGGUGAGUAACGCGUAGGUAACCUGCCUUGUAGCGGGGGAUAACUAUUGGAAACGAUAGCUAAUACCGCAUAACAAUGGAUGACACAUGUCAUUUAUUUGAAAGGGGCAAUUGCUCCACUACAAGAUGGACCUGCGUUGUAUUAGCUAGUAGGUGAGGUAAUGGCUCACCUAGGCGACGAUACAUAGCCGACCUGAGAGGGUGAUCGGCCACACUGGGACUGAGACACGGCCCAGACUCCUACGGGAGGCAGCAGUAGGGAAUCUUCGGCAAUGGGGGCAACCCUGACCGAGCAACGCCGCGUGAGUGAAGAAGGUUUUCGGAUCGUAAAGCUCUGUUGUAAGUCAAGAACGGGUGUGAGAGUGGAAAGUUCACACUGUGACGGUAGCUUACCAGAAAGGGACGGCUAACUACGUGCCAGCAGCCGCGGUAAUACGUAGGUCCCGAGCGUUGUCCGGAUUUAUUGGGCGUAAAGCGAGCGCAGGCGGUUUGAUAAGUCUGAAGUUAAAGGCUGUGGCUCAACCAUAGUUCGCUUUGGAAACUGUCAAACUUGAGUGCAGAAGGGGAGAGUGGAAUUCCAUGUGUAGCGGUGAAAUGCGUAGAUAUAUGGAGGAACACCGGUGGCGAAAGCGGCUCUCUGGUCUGUAACUGACGCUGAGGCUCGAAAGCGUGGGGAGCGAACAGGAUUAGAUACCCUGGUAGUCCACGCCGUAAACGAUGAGUGCUAGGUGUUGGAUCCUUUCCGGGAUUCAGUGCCGCAGCUAACGCAUUAAGCACUCCGCCUGGGGAGUACGACCGCAAGGUUGAAACUCAAAGGAAUUGACGGGGGCCCGCACAAGCGGUGGAGCAUGUGGUUUAAUUCGAAGCAACGCGAAGAACCUUACCAGGUCUUGACAUCCCGAUGCUAUUUCUAGAGAUAGAAAGUUACUUCGGUACAUCGGUGACAGGUGGUGCAUGGUUGUCGUCAGCUCGUGUCGUGAGAUGUUGGGUUAAGUCCCGCAACGAGCGCAACCCCUAUUGUUAGUUGCCAUCAUUCAGUUGGGCACUCUAGCGAGACUGCCGGUAAUAAACCGGAGGAAGGUGGGGAUGACGUCAAAUCAUCAUGCCCCUUAUGACCUGGGCUACACACGUGCUACAAUGGUUGGUACAACGAGUUGCGAGUCGGUGACGGCGAGCUAAUCUCUUAAAGCCAAUCUCAGUUCGGAUUGUAGGCUGCAACUCGCCUACAUGAAGUCGGAAUCGCUAGUAAUCGCGGAUCAGCACGCCGCGGUGAAUACGUUCCCGGGCCUUGUACACACCGCCCGUCACACCACGAGAGUUUGUAACACCCGAAGUCGGUGAGGUAACCUUUUGGAGCCAGCCGCCUAAGGUGGGACAGAUGAUUGGGGUGAAGUC